GCUAUUUGGGCCUUCGGGUGGGUCUGUUUAAGUUAGGCUGGUCUAGGUAGGGUCAAGUUUUGGCUGCUGGAUCUGUUGUAUUUGGGCUACGGGACUACUUUAAGGUUUUGGGUAGUGGGCCUGCUGGGUAGUUUUAGGUACUGAUUUGGCUAUUGGGUUGUAACUGGGUAUGGGCUUUUGUAACCUGGACUGUUUAAUAAAUAAAUAUUUAUUUAUUUA
RNAcentral lists this long non-coding RNA (219 nucleotides) under Gossypium barbadense (sea-island cotton). RNAcentral describes it as "long non-coding RNA (GBAR_LNC003452)". Lineage: Eukaryota; Viridiplantae; Streptophyta; Magnoliopsida; Malvales; Malvaceae. The record is from RNAcentral.